This 253-nucleotide ribosomal RNA is filed under the name uncultured bacterium. RNAcentral describes it as "partial 16S ribosomal RNA". It matches the Rfam family "Bacterial small subunit ribosomal RNA", at positions 524 to 776 of the family's 1533-position model. The record is from RNAcentral.
UACAGAGGUCCCAAGCGUUGUUCGGAUUCACUGGGCGUAAAGGGUGCGUAGGUGGCGAGGCAAGUCAGGUGUGAAAUCUCGGGGCUCAACCCCGAAACUGCACUUGAUACUGCCUUGCUCGAGUACUGGAGAGGAGAUUGGAAUUUACGGUGUAGCAGUGAAAUGCGUAGAUAUCGUAAGGAAGACCAGUGGCGAAGGCGAAUCUCUGGACAGUUACUGACACUGAGGCACGAAGGCCAGGGGAGCAAACGGG